UGCCAGCCGCCGCGGUAAUACGAGGGGUGCAAGCGUUAAUCGGAAUUACUGGGCGUAAAGCGUGCGUAGGUGGUUUGUUAAGCAAGAUGUGAAAGCCCCGGGCUCAACCUGGGAACUGCAUUUUGAACUGGCAGACUAGAGUUUUGUAGAGGGUAGUGGAAUUUCCAGUGUAGCGGUGAAAUGCGUAGAUAUUUGAAGGAACACCAAUGGCGAAGGCAGCUAUCUGGAAUAAUACUGACGCUGAGGUACGAAAGCGUGGGGAGCAAACAGGAUUAGAUA
RNAcentral lists this ribosomal RNA (279 nucleotides) under uncultured bacterium. RNAcentral's name for it is "partial 16S ribosomal RNA". It matches the Rfam family "Bacterial small subunit ribosomal RNA", at positions 506 to 784 of the family's 1533-position model. The record is from RNAcentral.